Molecule: ribosomal RNA, 497 nt
Filed under: uncultured bacterium
Lineage: Bacteria
Description: partial 16S ribosomal RNA
Rfam family: Bacterial small subunit ribosomal RNA
Source: RNAcentral
GACGAACGCUGGCGGCGUGCCUAAUACAUGCAAGUUGAGCGCUGACGGUUGGUACUUGUACCAACUGGAUGAGCAGCGAACGGGUGAGUAACGCGUGGGGAAUCUGCCUCUUAGCGGGGGACAACAUCUGGAAACGAAUGCUAAUACCGCAUAAUAACUUUAAACACAAGUUUUAAGUUUGAAAGAUGCAAUUGCAUCACUCAAAGAUGAUCCCGCGUUGUAUUAGCUAGUUGGUGAGGUAAAGGCCCACCAAGGCGGUGAUACAUAGGCGACCUGGGGAGGAGGACGGCCAAAAUGGGACCGGGACAAGGGCCAAAAUCCCUCGGGGAGCAACAGGAGGGGAAUUUUGGAAAAGGGGGGAAGGCUGAACGAAGAAAGCCGGGGGAGUGAAGGAGGUUGUCGGGUCGGAAAACUCUGUUGGUAGGGAAGAAAGUUGGUGAGAGUGAAAAGCUCAUGAAGUGACGGUAACUACCCAGAAAGGGACGGCUAACUACGUG